UACGUAGGCAGCAAGCGUUGUUCGGAAUUACUGGGCGUAAAGCGUGUGUAGGCGGUGUCAUAAGUUUGGUGUGAAAUCUCCCGGCUUAACUGGGAGGGUGCGCCGAAGACUGUGAUGCUCGAGUGUGGGAGAGGUAAGCGGAAUUCCUGGUGUAGCGGUGAAAUGCGUAGAUAUCAGGAGGAACACCUGUGGUGUAGACGGCUUACUGGACCACGACUGACGCUGAGACACGAAAGUGUGGGGAGCAAACAGG
This 253-nucleotide ribosomal RNA is filed under the name uncultured bacterium. RNAcentral describes it as "partial 16S ribosomal RNA". It matches the Rfam family "Bacterial small subunit ribosomal RNA", at positions 524 to 776 of the family's 1533-position model. The record is from RNAcentral.